This 72-nucleotide transfer RNA is filed under the name Cryptobatrachus sp. TNHC-GDC 451. RNAcentral describes it as "tRNA-Lys". Lineage: Eukaryota; Metazoa; Chordata; Amphibia; Anura; Hemiphractidae. The record is from RNAcentral.
CAUUAAGAAGCUAUAGGAUGCAGCAACAGCCUUUUAAGCUGUCGAAAGGUGACCUCCAACCACCCUUAAUGA